UUUGUUUAAAAAGAAAUUGUCAUUGUUGGAUUUUUUUUGGAUUGUCAUUUAUAUUAUGAUUUUUUAUUUGGGUAAUGCUACACAAGUUAAGAGAUAAAUAUAGUAAAAAUUUAUUAGAAAUUGUGCAUUGAAUUUAAUACAACUUUUAAUUAAUGAUUUUAUCACUUUUUUCAAUAGAAUUUUUAUUUAUGGAUUUUUUAACAUGUGCACCAGGAGCACGACCUUUUUAUUUUACACAGUGGAUUAUCA
Molecule: long non-coding RNA, 249 nt
Filed under: Lathyrus oleraceus (garden pea)
Lineage: Eukaryota; Viridiplantae; Streptophyta; Magnoliopsida; Fabales; Fabaceae
Description: Pisum sativum (pea) long non-coding RNA (PSAT_LNC009344)
Source: RNAcentral